AGUGAACGCUGGCGGUAGGCCUAACACAUGCAAGUCGAACGGCAGCACAGUAAGAGCUUGCUCUUACGGGUGGCGAGUGGCGGACGGGUGAGUAAUACAUCGGAAUCUACUUUUUCGUGGGGGGUAACGUAGGGAAACUUACGCUAAUACCGCAUACGACCUACGUGUGAAAGCAGGGGAUCUUCGGACCUUGCUCGAUUUAAUGAGCCGAUGUCGGAUUAGCUAGUUGGCGGGGUAAAGGCCCACCAAGGCGACGAUCCGUAGCUGGUCUGAGAGGAUGAUCAGCCACACGGGAACUGAGACACGGUCCAGACUCCUACGGGAGGCAGCAGUGGGGAAUAUUGGAAAAGGGGCGCAAGCCUGAUCCAGCCAGACCGCGUGGGUGAAGAAGGCCUUCGGGUUGUAAAGCCCUUUUGUUGGGAAAGAAAAGCAGCAGGUUAAUACCCCGCUGUUCUGACGGUACCCAAAGAAUAAGCACCGGCUAACUUCGUG
RNAcentral lists this ribosomal RNA (492 nucleotides) under uncultured bacterium. RNAcentral describes it as "partial 16S ribosomal RNA". It matches the Rfam family "Bacterial small subunit ribosomal RNA", at positions 29 to 507 of the family's 1533-position model. The record is from RNAcentral.